CUAGAGUUGGGCAGCUUAACGGCCUCCUUCCUUCUACGGUCACCUUCCACCCAGCCUCCAGCAAAAAAGGCAGGAGAAUGCAAAAAUAUCGUGAAGGAUGGGGAAAGGAGUUCUGCACUUUAGUUGUCUAAGUGCAUGAUCAUGCUUUGAAAGCCCGCUGCUACAUAUGCAACAUAGACGCUUUCGUUUUGCACGAUGGAGUGUGUGAGGUAGCAGCAGGCAGCCGGGGAAGGUCACGCUCGCAGCAGUCGAAUGAGGGGCCCAAGACAAGCCAUAUGCAAGUUUCUAAUGAAUGGAAGUUCAUCAGAAGCCCAUAAGGGAGUGCAUUGCACAGUCUAGGAGUGGCUACAGAGAAAGCUCACCUUUGAGUUGCCACCAGACGAACCGAUGGCAGCUGGAGCCGGACCUCCACAGAUGAUCUCAGCGUGCGGUGGGAAUCAGGCCAAAGAAAGUGCUCGCUAAGCUGCCUCUGCAGAAGAGCAAUGCUUGAAAUGUGUCAGGCCUGGGGCCGAGGACCAACAGCAGCAAAGGCUCCAAGGCCACCAAAGCACCUGUGGCUGAAACGUCAAAGAAAGAGGCCCCAAGUGGAGAGCAACCGCUGAAGCCAGGGGAAGAGGAAGCUGCCGUAGGAAGUCAAGAUCCCCCAGGCUGGUCUGCAUGUGGUCAGCGCAUCGAGUGGGAGCGUGCCCUCUAGGUGGAAACCCUUUCCCCCCCAGGGGAGAGGAGCCUCCUCCAAAGGAAAAAGAAGGCUGUGAGGGAUCCUACCAGAAUAUUGAGCCCAUCCCCAGGAGAAACCUGGCCCGGGACCAUGGGGAGCCUGCGCAGGGCUUCUUCCCAGUGUGGGGGGACCACCUUUGUGGCAUGCCCAGAGAGACAGCUCUUUCCCAUCCUAGAGAAGAAGACUCCAUGGGAAGCCCUCUGCCCAAGCCACUUCCAACCUCACAGCAACAUCCAUCCGCUCAGCAGAUGCUCGACCCAUGGCCAUUGCUGGCCAAACCACUGAGAAGGUCCAAGCCAGAGGCACUGCCAGCCACUAACUCUCUGACAAAGUCAUCGUUGCCACUUUCCCUGCCCAAGCCACCAGCCCCACACCCUUGGGAACAGCAACCAUCCGAUCCUUCCCAAAUGCUGUGGCUUCGGACGCUAUGGAACCUAUCCACACCUAACAUAUCAACAACAACACUAACGCCUCCAGUACUAACAAUAGUAUAGUUACCCCAAUACUAACAAUACUAAUAUCUCCAUUGUAUUUGGCCAUUUUGCAGGAAAUCAGUCUUCCUGCCAUACCAAAUGACACGAAAGGUUCCUCUAGCAUCUUUUUCCAGCACAGUUCCUGGAAAGGAGAUCCUAACCCCAGGGGCAAGGCCUCCACCUAAAGCCACUGCCAGGCCCAAUGCAAAGCUCAUCAUCUAGGCAAGAGCGAACACCAGUGACAAGAUUACUGUUAGUUAAUAGUAUUUAUGAUUGACUUGAUUGAUUGAUUGAUUUAUAUACCGCCCCUCCAAAAAUGGCUCAGCGUGGUUUAAUGGUCUUUAAUAGUAGUCUAUUUAUUUAUUUUGGUCUAGGGGCAGCUUGAUACCGACUUUAAUCAUUAUAUUUGGUAGUAGUUGUUAGUAGUAGUUGUUGUUAGUAGUUAACUGUCAUGAGAUUUUGUGGUUUGGUGAUAUAGAAAUGCAAUAAAAACAAACAAACCAGUGGCAUGG
Hemicordylus capensis (graceful crag lizard) is the source of this 1703-nucleotide long non-coding RNA. RefSeq lists it as uncharacterized. The record is from RefSeq and is a predicted model, not a curated record. Lineage: Eukaryota; Metazoa; Chordata; Lepidosauria; Squamata; Cordylidae. The transcript has 3 exons.